This 66-nucleotide transfer RNA is filed under the name Marmota monax (woodchuck). RNAcentral describes it as "tRNA.Ala". Lineage: Eukaryota; Metazoa; Chordata; Mammalia; Rodentia; Sciuridae. The record is from RNAcentral.
GGUUAUAGCUCAGUGGUGGAGCACUUGCCUAGCAUGUGUGAGGACUGGGUUCGAUCCUCAGCACCA